CGAAAAAAUACCAUAUUAUAAAGCUGUUGAAAUAAGAGAUGGUGAAAAACUGAGAAAGAUGCGUAUUAGAAAAAAAAAAUGAUGGGUCGGUGUUUACAGAUGGGUGGAUGUUGUUAGUUAAAGAACAUCAAUUGAAAUACAAAGAUGGGGUACUGAUCACAGCAGUUGGGAAGUUGAAGUUUGAAGUUUUGUGUUUUAAAGAUUUGGUAUGUCAGAACUCGUAUAUUACAGCACAAAUUGAAUCAGAACUUGGAAUGUGUGUAAUGCCAGAUAAAUUUUAUCAUGACUUUUACGGCAACAAUUUCAAAGGUGGAAUGGCGAAGGUUUAUUUUGGAGAAAGAUUUUGGAACGUAAGACUGGAAGGAGGCUCGGACGGUGGUUAUUUCAAGGAUGGAUGGCGUAAGGUGGUUGAAGAGGUCCCUAUAGACAAUGAUUAUUUCUUGGUUUUUACCAGCCUGGAUUUAGUAAGCUUUGAUGUUUCCGUAUUCGAUCCUGACACCGGAACAGAAGUUUUUCUAAAAAAGUCUACUGCGGAUGAUGAUAUGAUAGUUGAACAAAAGUUGCCGGCUGAUGUGUGUGAAGAUGAUCUGGAAGGAAAUAAAAAAUAUGUAAGUAUUCAGCUUGUUCAUUUUGAAAGUGUUUUAUAUGUUUAACAAUUUUUAAUAUAUUUAUUUGAAUUAUUAUUUAACUUUUACGUAUUCAUGCUUUAUUAGACAAAGAUAACUCCAAAAGUGUUUUAUAUGUUUAACAUUAAUGAAUUUAUUUAUUUGAAUUAUUAUUAAACUUUUACAUAAUCAUGUUUUGGUAAGAAAGAAUGAAAAUCCAAAACAUUCUUUAUUUAUUUGAAUUAUUAUUUAACUUUUACAUAUUCAUAUUUAUUGUUUUUAUUGUGAAGGUUAAAGGCAAGUCCAAGGUAUAUGAAACUCAGACACAACGAAAUCUUCGGAGCAGAAUUAAAAGGGUUGAUGCAGCAGCAAGCACUGGUUCUCCGGUCUUGAAAUCCACAGACCUGACAAAACGAAAUCUUCGAAGCAGAAUUAAAAAGGUUGAUGAAGCGCCAAUGACGGGUUCUCCAGUCUUGAAAUCCACAAACCUGGUACAACAACAAAUUGUAACUUUUUUUGACAUUUUUUAUUGUUUACAUAGUUCAUAUAUCUUAAUUAUGUAGUGGCUUUCGUUCAAUAUGGUUUCUGCAAUAAAUGGGUUUGGGUUUAAAUUGUUUGCUAAUAAUAUAGCCGCUAUUUGUUUGGUUAUAAUAUAGGCGUUAUUUCUUAAUUGAUAAAAUAGUGGUUUGUUCAUUUCUUUUUGGUGAUAAUACAUGCUUUAUUUGUUUCAUGAUAAUAUAGUCAUUUGUUCAUUUGGUUUCGUGAUAAUAUAGGUGUAAUUCGCUUCAUGAUAAUAUAGUCAUUUGCUCAUUUUGGUUUGAUGAUAACUUAGGAAUUAUGUGUUUCAUAAUAAUAUAGCUGAUAGUAUUGUUUUGCAUGAUAAUAUAGUCUCAGGUUCCUUUCGUGAUAAAAUUGUUUUUAGUGAUAAUAGAGUGUCGUGUAGGGGUGUUCAAAAUUAGUGGAGGAAGUUGUAAACAUCCUAAGAACGAAGUAGUACUUUUAUUUGUCUCAUUUUUAUUUGUGUGUGUUUAGGAAAUCGGAUAUCCGAACUUCGGAUAGCCGAAAUUUCGGAUACGGAUUCGGAUAGUGAUAUUGACUAUCCGAAAAAUUCGGAUAUCCGGUUUUGAACACUCGUGUUUGUUUCGUGAUAAUAUAUAAUCUCUAUAAUAUAUAUCUAGAAUAUGUUCUAGUUAAUUCAAUUAUGUUCAGACGAAGCGCAAGAAGACACUUCAAAAAGUUAACCCACAAUCACCGGUUUUGAACUUCACAAGAUUUGCGGAACACAGAAUUCGACUACCAGCAAAAAUGUCAUCUGUGUUGGACUUAUCUCCUGUUCAUCUCAAAGAAGUCAGUGUUCAAAACCUGACAGGUGAAGUCAAGAACAUCAUGACCAGAUCGGAAAAACACCGCAAAGGGUUCCGGUAUGCAUUUGUUGGAUGGUCGAAUUACUUGAAGGCUUGGAACAUCAAAAUUGGAGCAGAACUGUUUUUUGAGUUCAACAACUCAAGCAAGGUCUUGACAUUGACAAAGGUUGUGGAGAAGCGUGGUGUUAAGAAGAAGAAAUUGCGUGCAUGACUCGGAAGUCUGCUUGUGGUUGUGGUGGUUUUUAUAAACAAUAUAUAUGCUACUUUCUUUUGUUGGGCUUUAGAGUCCUAGUUGGUCUAGAAAAACUUGGGGCUAAAUUAGACAGCUUUUGGUUUAUUUUGGGUUGGGCUUUUAUGUAAAUCAAGGUUAACAGGUAGUCAGGUACAUGCAUGGUUGGUUGUUAUUUUUGGGUAGAAUAACUUGACUAAUUUUGAUAUUA
RNA transcript from Helianthus annuus (common sunflower), 2409 nucleotides. RefSeq lists it as uncharacterized. The record is from RefSeq and is a predicted model, not a curated record. Lineage: Eukaryota; Viridiplantae; Streptophyta; Magnoliopsida; Asterales; Asteraceae. The transcript has 6 exons.